AACAGAUAAGGAGCUUGCUCCUUUGAAGUUAGCGGCGGACGGGUGAGUAACACGUGGGUAACCUACCUAUAAGACUGGGAUAACUUCGGGAAACCGGAGCUAAUACCGGAUAACAUUUAGAACCGCAUGGUUCUAAAGUGAAAGAUGGUUUUGCUAUCACUUAUAGAUGGACCCGCGCCGUAUUAGCUAGUUGGUAAGGUAACGGCUUACCAAGGCGACGAUACGUAGCCGACCUGAGAGGGUGAUCGGCCACACUGGAACUGAGACACGGUCCAGACUCCUACGGGAGGCAGCAGUAGGGAAUCUUCCGCAAUGGGCGAAAGCCUGACGGAGCAACGCCGCGUGAGUGAUGAAGGGUUUCGGCUCGUAAAACUCUGUUAUUAGGGAAGAACAAAUGUGUAAGUAACUGUGCACAUCUUGACGGUACCUAAUCAGAAAGCCACGGCUAACUACGUGCCAGCAGCCGCGGUAAUACGUAGGUGGCAAGCGUUAUCCGGAAUUAUUGGGCGUAAAGCGCGCGUAGGCGGUUUCUUAAGUCUGAUGUGAAAGCCCACGGCUCAACCGUGGAGGGUCAUUGGAAACUGGGAAACUUGAGUGCAGAAGAGGAAAGUGGAAUUCCAUGUGUAGCGGUGAAAUGCGCAGAGAUAUGGAGGAACACCAGUGGCGAAGGCGACUUUCUGGUCUGUAACUGACGCUGAUGUGCGAAAGCGUGGGGAUCAAACAGGAUUAGAUACCCUGGUAGUCCACGCCGUAAACGAUGAGUGCUAAGUGUUAGGGGGUUUCCGCCCCUUAGUGCUGCA
Molecule: ribosomal RNA, 800 nt
Filed under: Staphylococcus xylosus
Lineage: Bacteria; Bacillati; Bacillota; Bacilli; Caryophanales; Staphylococcaceae
Description: bacterial SSU rRNA
Rfam family: Bacterial small subunit ribosomal RNA
Source: RNAcentral